This 377-nucleotide ribosomal RNA is filed under the name uncultured bacterium. Its description in RNAcentral is "bacterial SSU rRNA". It matches the Rfam family "Bacterial small subunit ribosomal RNA", at positions 523 to 898 of the family's 1533-position model. The record is from RNAcentral.
ACACGUAGGAGGCAAACGUUAUCCGGAUUCACUGGGCGUAAAGCGCGUGUAGGUGGUUCUGUAAGUAGGGCGUGAAAGCUCCCGGCUCAACUGGGAGAGGCCGUACUAAACUGCAGAGCUAGAGGAUGGUAGAGGGAGGUGGAAUUCCAGGUGUAGUGGUGAAAUGCGCAGAUAUCUGGAGGAACACCAGUGGCGAAGGCGGCCUCCUGGACCAUUCCUGACACUCAGACGCGAAAGCUAGGGUAGCAAACGGAAUUAGAGACUCCGGUAGUCCUAGCCCUAAACGAUGCAGACUAGGCGUCGGCGGUUUAAUCACCGUCGGUGUCCAAGCUAACGCGAUAAGUCUGCCGCCUGAGGACUACGGCCGCAAGGCUAAA